RNAcentral lists this ribosomal RNA (322 nucleotides) under Cercozoa sp. RNAcentral's name for it is "SSU rRNA". It matches the Rfam family "Eukaryotic small subunit ribosomal RNA", at positions 634 to 955 of the family's 1831-position model. The record is from RNAcentral. Lineage: Eukaryota; Cercozoa.
GAUUUCUGGCUUGAAACAUUUAGCCGGCCACGGUUUCGUGUGUUAGUGCUUUGUGUUCUGGCCAUCCUUCCAAUCGCUUCUGGCUAUUCUUCAUUGAUUGGUCAGGGGUAUUGGAUCUUUUACUUUGAAAAAAUUAGAGUGUUUCAAGCAGGCUUUAUGCUAUGAAUACAUUAGCAUGGAAUAAUAAUUUAGGACUUCGGUUCUAUUUUGUUGGUUCUCGGGACCGAAGUAAUGAUUGAUAGGGAUAGUUGGGGGUGCUAGUAUUCAGCGGCCAGAGGUGAAAUUCUCGGAUUCGCUGAAGACUAACUUAUGCGAAAGCAUU